Molecule: ribosomal RNA, 747 nt
Filed under: Triticum aestivum (bread wheat)
Lineage: Eukaryota; Viridiplantae; Streptophyta; Magnoliopsida; Poales; Poaceae
Description: partial small subunit ribosomal RNA
Source: RNAcentral
AUGGCGGCAACGACGACGGCGACGUCGAGGCGGGCGCCGGCCGUCCUCCUCCUCCUCCUCCUCGCGGCGGCGUCCGCGGCUUCGGCCAGGGGCGACGGCAACGGCGUGUACGAGCCGUGCGCGGACGCGACGGUGAGCCGCGGCGACGGGUUCACCUUCGGGGUGGCCUUCGCGGGCCGCGACGCCUUCUUCUCCGGCGGCGUGCAGCUCUCGCCCUGCGACAGCCGCCUCAACCUUGCCGGCGCCGGCCCGCAGCUCGCGCUCUUCCGCCCCACCGUCGACGAGAUUUCGCUCCUCACCGUCAACGCUUCCGACCCCAAAGCCCUGACAUCUGCUGGUGGGUACAUGGUGGCCUUUGCCGGGAGGAAAUUCGCGGCAAGGUCGCCGCCCGUGUUCGUCGGCAACAGCUCGUACACAGUCACCGGCUUCACCCUGGUGUUCGAGUUCCACAAGGGCACGCUCCAGAACCUCUUCUGGAAGGCGGACGGCUGCUCGUCGUGCUCCGGGCAAGCCAACUUUGGGUGCGUCGAAAACAGCUGCGCGAUCAAGACGUCGAGCUGCAAGGGCAGCGGCGGCGGGCAGGUGGACUGCAGCCCCGGGAUCCAGCUCGCCUUCUCCGGCACCGACAAGCACGAGGCAGUGCUCAACUCGUGGUACGAGGUGUCCAAGCUGAAGCAGUACUCCCUCUUCGGGCUCUUCUCCAACCUCAAGGACUCACUUGCGGGGCAGUUCAGCAACUUCUUCUAG